UCUUGAAUGGUCUAGUGGUAAGGAUACCUGCUUGUCAUCAUUCAAACAAGGGAGACAGUCCGCAGGUGGCCGGGGUUCGAUUCCCCGUUCGAGAG
This is a non-coding RNA of Xylariaceae sp. FL0594, 95 nucleotides long. The record is from the annotation of a GenBank genome assembly. Lineage: Eukaryota; Fungi; Ascomycota; Sordariomycetes; Xylariales; Xylariaceae.